AGGAAUUGGAGCUCCUGGUCCGAGAAUUGAAACCGGAUAUCGUAGGAAUAACUGAAACGUGGUGGAACGGCAGUCACGACUGGAAUACAGGUAUGGAAGGGUAUGCGCUGUUUAGGAACGACCGGAACGAAGGUAAAGGUGGGGGGGUGGCAUUGUAUGUCAAUAAUGAGAUAAGCUGUAAAGAAAUAAUAGUUGAUGGAAUAGAUAAGACAGAGUCCGUCUGGGCAAUACUCACACUGGGUAAAAGAACUACUAGAGCCUCUCCGGGGAUAGUGCUCGGGGUGUGCUAUAGACCGCCGGGAUCAACCCAGGAUAUGGAUAAAGAACUAUUUAAUGUAUUUAGGGAAGUAAAUACUAAUAGGAACUGUGUGAUUAUGGGGGACUUUAACUUCCCGGAAAUAGAUUGGGGAACAAAUGCUAGUAGCAAUAAUAGGGCUCAGAUGUUCCUAGAUGUGCUUGCUGAUCAAUUCCUUCAUCAAGUGGUAGCUGAACCGACGAGGGGGGAGGCCAUUUUGGAUUUGGUUUUGGUGAGUAGUGAGGACCUUGUUGAGGAAGUGGUUGUAGGGAACAACUUGGGCUCCAGUGAUCAUGAGCUAAUUCGGUUUAAACUAAAUGGAAGGAGUAACAGAAUUAAAUCAAAGACUAGGGUUUAUAAUUUUAAAAAGGCUAAUUUUAACAAAUUAAGAGGACUGGUAAGGGAAGUGGAUUGGGCAAACAUAUUAAUGGAUCUAAAGGCAGAAGAAGCCUGGGAUUAUUUUAAGUUAAAGCUGCAUGAGCUGUCGGAGGCCUGUAUCCCGAAAAAGGUAAAAAGGUUAGUGAGCAAGAGAUUUAGACCGAGCUGGAUGAGCGACUGUCUCAAAGGGGCGAUUAGGAAAAAACAGAAAGCGUACAAAGAGUGGAAGAGGGGAGGGAUCAGUAAGGAAACUUACCUUAGUGAGGUCAGAGCAUGUAGAGAUGGAGUGAGAAAGGCCAAAAGCCGUGUGGAGUUGGACCUUGCGAGGGGAAUUAAAAGCAAUAGUAAGAGGUUUUACAGCCAUAUAAAUAGGAAGAAAGCAAAGAAAGAAGAAGUGGGACUGCUGAAGACUAUAGUUGGAGAGGAGAUUAAGGAUAAUCUAGGCAUGGCACAAUAUCUAAAUGAAUAUUUUGCAUCGGUGUUCAAUGAGGCCAAUGAAGGGAUUAGGAAUAUUGGCAGCGUGACAGAGGGGGAUACAGGAGGGGGGAUUACCGUAUCCGAGGUAGAAACCAAACUUGAACACCUUAAUGGGACUAAGUCAGGCGGACCAGAUGAUCUUCAUCCGAGAAUAUUGAAGGAAUUGGCGCGAGAAAUAGCGGGCCCCUUAGCGAAAANNNNNNNNNNNNNNNNNNNNNNNNNNNNN
This 1376-nucleotide long non-coding RNA is filed under the name Chrysemys picta bellii (western painted turtle). RNAcentral's name for it is "lncRNA (ENSCPBG00000003001.1)". The record is from RNAcentral. Lineage: Eukaryota; Metazoa; Chordata; Testudines; Emydidae.